RNAcentral lists this ribosomal RNA (253 nucleotides) under uncultured bacterium. RNAcentral describes it as "partial 16S ribosomal RNA". It matches the Rfam family "Bacterial small subunit ribosomal RNA", at positions 524 to 776 of the family's 1533-position model. The record is from RNAcentral.
UACAGAGGUCUCAAGCGUUGUUCGGAUUCAUUGGGCGUAAAGGGUGCGUAGGCGGCGCGGUAAGUCGGGUGUGAAAUCUUGGAGCUUAACUCCGAAACUGCAUUCGAUACUGCGGUGCUUGAGGACUGGAGAGGAGACUGGAAUUUACGGUGUAGCGGUGAAAUGCGUAGAUAUCGUAAGGAAGACCAGUGGCGAAGGCGGGUCUCUGGACAGUUCCUGACGCUGAGGCACGAAGGCCAGGGGAGCAAACGGG